AUGUGGCUACUAAGUUUUGAUUGGGAGUUGGUCAUGUUCAAGCAUUACCUUUCUGCAGGCCGACCAGCAAUGGUAGAGACGAACGGACAGGCGGAGCCAACGAGGCAUACGGAACGGACGGGCAGGAAGGUUCCGGACGUGGAAGGCACGGCAGCCGCAAGUGGCGGCGAGAGCCACGGGUCGGCUGCGGCAGACGAAACGGACGGGCAGGAAGGAUCGGAGGCGGACGGCGCGGCAGCGACAAAUGGCGGCGAGAGAGACGAGUGGGCUGCGGUGGCCGGAACAGACGGGCAGGAAGGAUCCCGAGGCGGACGGCGCGGCAGCGGCAGGCUGCGGUGGCCGGAACAGACGGGCAGGAAGGAUCCCGAGGCCGACGGCGUGGUAGCGGCAGGCGGCGGCGAGAGAGCGGCAAUUAGGGCUUGGGUGACGAGAAUGCAGGUGUUUGAGCUUGCCGAUGAAACAAUGACUAUGCUAUCUUCGUGGGACGAAGAUGAUCCCAAGGUGGUUUCUGCUGGGCAUGGUAGCUAUGGAAGGACGGCGGAGCACUCCGGCCGGUGCUCCGGCGUGGGAUUUGGCCGGGACAACGGGUUGGACCCACGAUCGACGACCGGCGGCUUGCGCCGUACACAGAUCACACGGGACGCGCCAUCGAUGAAGUCAGCACAAUGGAGCGAUCUCCCUGACGAGCUUCUCAGCGCGAUCUACCUCAAGAUCACCGGCCUGCUCCACCGUGUCCGCUUCGCCGCCACGUGCAGGUCGUGGCGAGCAGCCGCGAUCGGGUCGCGGCACGAAGUGCCACCCGCUCUACCAUGGCUCGUCUACUCAGAUUGUAAAUACGACCACGACCACGACGACGACCACCACAACAACAGGAUGAAGUGCGUGUACUGCCCUGAGGACGGCGGGGUCCUGCGCAUCCGGCUUCCGAGUGAGGCAAUCGACAAGGACUUGGUGGGAUCUUAUGACGAUGGCUGGGUCUUCAUGAAAGGGCCCAACCGAGAACAUGCAGCCGUGAACCUAUUUUCCGGCAUCGAGGUGCCGCUCCCCGCAAACAACAUGCGCUCACUCCGGAAGGUUGUCGUCUCGAAAUCCCCCACCUCAAGCGGUUGCAUUAUCGCUGCCACCCAUAGCAACGGUAUCGCCCUUUGCGGGAUUGGUUAUCUAGACAAUGGGUGGAGGAUAAAACGAACUGAUGGACCACGGCUCCUCGAUAUAAUAUUCUACAAUGGUGAACUCUAUGGCAUCACCACAAGACAGCUACUCAAGUUUGAAAUAGGUCAGAACAAAGCUGGCGGGCCGGUCGUCAUCGGCGAACCUUGCCGGUUGCAAAUCCGAAUGUGUAACGCCCCAUUCGUGUACCCGAACUACAUCGUUGAGUUGCAUGGAAAGUUGGCAUUGGUAGCGAGGACCUGGCAUGGCAUCAGCGGUGAACCUUCUUUCAAGGUGUUCAAGCUUGUUGAUGACUCAACCGCCGCCGCUCGCUGGAUCCCGCACACAGACCCAGACCCAUGCUGCCCUCGUUUCGGACCACCGCCGCCGGCGCUCGCCGCCUCGCUGCCGCCGGCCGCAGCACCAUCUUCGUCGCCUCUUGCGUUCCUCACCGGAUCCACAGAUGCAGCUGCGUAUACGACGGGGUUGCAGCUCCGGUGGCGACGGUCGGCGGCCGCAAAACUCGUCGGCAAGCUCGCAGUGUACCUCGCCUCGGUUGCCGUCCAUGGUUGUAGCACUCUGGUGCGUCGCCCCGCCCUCGCUAUCGGCGCUCGCUGCAUGAGUUUCCAAGAACAAAAUGGCCACCAGUCGCACCAUAAAACGAAUGUAGCAAAUCAACAUGUCGGUCGUACCAAAAAGCAUCCACGGUUGUAG
RNAcentral lists this ribosomal RNA (1863 nucleotides) under Triticum aestivum (bread wheat). Its description in RNAcentral is "partial small subunit ribosomal RNA". Lineage: Eukaryota; Viridiplantae; Streptophyta; Magnoliopsida; Poales; Poaceae. The record is from RNAcentral.